CAAAGGCGCGCGUCUAGGGCUUUUUUUGCGAAUAACCUCCUGAGCAAUUUUUAUUCUAAAAACAGCCCUAUCAAAAUAAAAUUUACAAAAAUGGCCCUGACCCUGCCACACAGGUGCCACGUCAGCGCCACGCGGGCAGAACUGGGGCCAGGGUAUUAAGUUGAAUACGGUGAACCAUUCACCAUGUCUAAACACGGUGAAUGAAUGAUUCGUAUUUUUGUAUAUUGAAAAGAGGAAUAGGGAGUAGAGAUGUCAAUAGGUAUGGAUAUUCGAAAUAUUAUCCGAAUCCAAACCCGAAUAAAUUAUAUAUAUAUAUAUAUAUAUAUAUCAUAUAUAUAUAUAAGCUAUAGUAUAUAUAUAUAUAUAUAUAUAUAUAUAUAUAUAUAUAUAUAUAUAUAUAUAUAUAUAUAUAUAUAUAUUAUUUGUGUUUGGAAAGUAUAAAAACAGAAAGGAAAAAACACCUUAUAGGUAACCCGUAUACCCGUCAGUGCACCAGCGGGCGGAUAUAUAUAUAUAUAUAUAUAUAUAUAUAUAUAUAUAAUUUAUUCGGGUUUGGAUUCGGAUAAUAUUUCGGAUAUCCAUACCUAUUGACAUCCCCACUUCCUAUUUCUCUUUUCAAUAUACAAAAAAUACAUACUAAACACGGUGAACCAUUCACCGUGUUUGAACAUAGUGAAUGGUUCACCGUGUUUAACUUAACACACGGGUCCCAACCCUACCCGCGUGGCGCUGACGUAGCGCCUACGUGGCAGGCUCGGAGCCAUUUUUAUAAAUUAAAUUUUGACAGGACUAUUUUUAAAAUAAAAAUUUGCCAGGAAGCCCGCGCAUCUAUUGUAGCUGAAG
RNAcentral lists this long non-coding RNA (843 nucleotides) under Ananas comosus (pineapple). Its description in RNAcentral is "long non-coding RNA (ACOM_LNC009045)". The record is from RNAcentral. Lineage: Eukaryota; Viridiplantae; Streptophyta; Magnoliopsida; Poales; Bromeliaceae.